RNAcentral lists this ribosomal RNA (433 nucleotides) under uncultured bacterium. RNAcentral's name for it is "partial 16S ribosomal RNA". It matches the Rfam family "Bacterial small subunit ribosomal RNA", at positions 29 to 507 of the family's 1533-position model. The record is from RNAcentral.
AACGAACGCUGGCGGCAUGCCUAACACAUGCAAGUCGAACGAGACCUUCGGGUCUAGUGGCGCACGGGUGCGUAACGCGUGGGAACCUGCCCUUAGGUUCGGAAUAACUCCCCGAAAGGGGUGCUAAUACCGGAUAAUGUCUUCGGACCAAAGAUUUAUCGCCUUUGGAUGGGCCCUCGUUGGAUUCGCUAGUUGGUAGGGUAAAAGCCUACCAAGGCGACGAUCCAUAGCUGGUCUGAGAGGAUGAUCCGCCACACUGGGACUGCGACACGGCCCAGACUCCUACGGGGAGCAGCAGUGGGGAAUAUUGGACAAUGGGCGAAAGCCUGAUCCAGCAAUGCCGCGUGAGUGAUGAAGGCCUUAGGGUUGUAAAGCUCUUUUACCCGGGAUGAUAAUGACAGUACCGGGAGAAUAAGCUCCGGCUAACUCCGUG